This 506-nucleotide long non-coding RNA is filed under the name Musa acuminata (dwarf banana). RNAcentral's name for it is "long non-coding RNA (MACU_LNC004991)". Lineage: Eukaryota; Viridiplantae; Streptophyta; Magnoliopsida; Zingiberales; Musaceae. The record is from RNAcentral.
CCAAAUACGACCCAUCUCACCAGUAAAAGGUGGGGAUUACAAUGAUGAAGAUGGGAGAGAUUUAUCGGUGCUUUCGUGUCCGUGAAGUUUCUCUGAGCUUGCUUUCAUCAGCUUGAGGUUAAAGCAAAAGGAGAUGUAAUGAUUUCAAAUCAUUACUCCGACUGCUUCGUAAUUGACAUCCCAUCUGCAUCAAUGAAUUAUAUCGGCAUACAACUUAUUCGAGAUAGAUUGAAAUCUUAUAAGCAAAAGCCAAAAGAAUUAUGCUAAAUAAUCUCGACUGCUUGUCGACGCCAAAGCAGCAAAGUAGGAGAGCGAUGGCGUAUGGGAGCGAAAAAGAAUUAGAGGAAGAAACGAGAGAGUCGGCCAUCAAAAUCCACAGCGGAGAGAAAGUACUGACAGCGGCGGGGUACGCCACCCCCCUCCCUUGCUUUCGCAGCUUUUUGUGCUCGCCCACUUCCUCGUUCCCAUUCGCGGCAGCGUUCGAACUACACAUCCACAACUACGCG